This 1877-nucleotide ribosomal RNA is filed under the name Rhinebothrium persicum. RNAcentral describes it as "SSU rRNA". It matches the Rfam family "Eukaryotic small subunit ribosomal RNA", at positions 143 to 1755 of the family's 1831-position model. The record is from RNAcentral. Lineage: Eukaryota; Metazoa; Platyhelminthes; Cestoda; Rhinebothriidea; Rhinebothriidae.
AUAACUGUAAUAACUCUAGAGCUAAUACAUGCCUCGAUGCCCUGACCCCUUGUGGGAAUGGGUGCACUUAUUAGAUCAGAAGCCAACCGUGCAUACCGCAAGGUGUGCAUGUUGACCUUCUGGUGACUCUGGAUAAUUGUUACAGAUCGCAGUCGGCCUUGAGUCGGCGACGGGUCCUUCAAAUGUCUGCCCUAUCAACUGUCGAUGGUAGGUGACCUGCCUACCAUGGUGAUAACGGGUAACGGGGAAUCAGGGUUCGAUUCCGGAGAGGGAGCCUGAGAAACGGCUACCACUUCCAAGGGAGGCAGCAGGCGCGCAAAUUACCCACUCCCAGUACGGGGAGGUGGUGACGAAAAAUACCGAUGCGGGACUCAAUAACGAGGCUCCGUAAUCGGAAUGAGUGAACUCUAAAUCCUUUCACGAGGAUCAAUUGGAGGGCAAGUCUGGUGCCAGCAGCCGCGGUAACUCCAGCUCCAAUAGCGUAUAUUAAAGUUGCUGCAGUUAAAAAGCUCGUAGUUGGAUCUCGGUAUCACUGGGGCCUGCCGAGGGCGGUUGUUGCGUUGCUGCGACGUCACGUCAAGGCUGUGCAGUGGCCACCUGAGGUAUGCAGUCCUGGUGUCACCUUUCAGCCAUGUCUGUGGUGAAAUACCCGCAGGUGUAGGCUAGUGUCAGGCGGUGCUUUGCAUCUGUAAGGCCCGUCGGCUAGUUUGCAUGCCUUUAGAUGCCCUUCAUUAGGUGUCUGUUGGCGGAUGGCACGUUUACUUUGAACAAAUUUGAGUGCUCAAACCAGGCCGAUGUUGCCUGAAAAGUUUUGCAUGGAAUAAUGGAAUAGGACUUCGGUUCUAUUUCGUUGGUUUUCGGAUCCGAAGUAAUGAUCAAAAGAGACAGGCGGGGACGUUUGUAUGGCUGCGCUAGAGGUGAAAUUCAUGGACCGUAGCCAGACAAACUAAAGCGAAAGCAUUCGUCAAGCAUGUUUUCAUUGGCCAUGAGCGAAAGUCAGAGGCUCGAAGACGAUCAGAUACCGUCCUAGUUCUGACCAUAAACGAUGCCAACUGACGAUCCGUGGUGGUAGUAAACAACCUUCCCCACGGGCAGUCCCCGGGAAACCAUUAAGUCUUUGGGUUCCGGGGGAAGUAUGGUUGCAAAGCUGAAACUUAAAGGAAUUGACGGAAGGGCACCACCAGGAGUGGAGCCUGCGGCUUAAUUUGACUCAACACGGGAAAACUCACCCGGCCCGGACACUGUGAGGAUUGACAGAUUGAUAGCUCUUUCUUGAUUCAGUGGUUGGUGGUGCAUGGCCGUUCUUAGUUGGUGGAGCGAUUUGUCUGGUUAAUUCCGAUAACGAACGAGACUCCAGCCUGCUAAUUAGUGUGUUCGUCCUCUGUGCUUGUGUGGGCGGCUGCCGACAAGGCUGCUCCUGUUUGCUGCGGCGGUCAGGCAUCGCAAGGUGUUUGGCUGUCGUAGUUAGGGGGCUUGCCGGCUCGGCGCUAGUCUCCGGGUGCGGCGCGAAUACCUACUUCUUAGAGGGACAAGCGGGAAAAGCCGCACGAAAUUGAGCAAUAACAGGUCUGUGAUGCCCUUAGAUGUCCGGGGCCGCACGCGCGCUACAAUGACGGUGCCAACGAGUCUGACCUUCUGGCCCGAAAGGGUUGGGCAAACUGGUCAAUCACCGUCAUGACAGGGAUCGGGGCUUGGAAUUGUUCCCCGUGAACGAGGAAUUCCUAGUAAGUGCAAGUCAUAAGCUUGCGCUGAUUACGUCCCUGCCCUUUGUACACACCGCCCGUCGCUACUACCGAUUGAAUGGUUUAGUAAGGUCCUUGGAUCGGCGCCAUUGUGGCGGCUGCCGAAAGGUGGUCGUCCGACGUGUGCUGAGAAGA